CGGCAGGUAAAAAUGACAAACAAGAACAGGUUUUUGGACAUUUUUGCAAAAAAAAAAGGUAUUCAGACCCUUUACUCAGAACUUCGUUGAAGCACUUUGGCAGUGAUUACAUCCUCGAGUCUUAUUGGGUAUGAUGCUACAAGCUUGGCACACCUGUGUUUCUCCCAUUCUUCUCUGCAGAUCCCCUCAAGCUCUAUCAGGUUGGAUGGGGAGCGUCGCUGCACAGCUAUUUUCAGGUCUCUCCAGAGUUGUUAGAUCGGGUUCAAGUCCAGGCUCUGGCUGGGCCACUCAAGGACAUUCAGAGACUUAUCCCGAAGCCACUCCUGCAUUGUCUUGGCUGUGUGCUUAGGGUCAUUGUCCUGUUGGAAGGUGAACCUUCGCCCCAGUCUGAGUUCCUGAGUGCUCUGGAGCAGGUUUUCAUCAAGUAUCCCUCUGUACUUUGCUCCAUUCAUCUUUCCCUUUUCUUGUGUCAACAGGUCACAAAUCUUGCUGCUGUGAUGGUACAUUGUGAUAUUUCACCCAAUAGAUAUGGGAGUUUUUCAAAAUUGGAUUUAUUUUCAAAUUCUUUGUGGGUCUGUGUAAUCUGAGGGAAAUAUGUGUCUCUAAUGUGGUCAUACAUUUGGCAGGAGGUUAGGAGGUACAGCUCAGUUUCCACCUAAUUUUGUGGGCAGUGUGCCCAUAGCCUGUCUUCUCUUGAGAGCCAGAUCUGCCUACGGCGGCCUGUUUCAAUAGCAAGGCUAUGCUCACUGAGUCUGUACAUAGUCAAAGCUUUCCUUAAUUUUGAGUCAGUGACAGUGGUCAGGUAUUCUGCCACUGUGUACUCUCUGUUUAGGGCCAAAUAGCAUUCUAGUCUGCUCUGUUUUUUUGUUAUUUCUUUCCAAUGUGUCAAGUAAUUAUCUUUUUGUUUUCUCAUUAUUUGGUUGGGUCUAAUUGUGUUGCUGUCCUGGGGCUCUGUGGGGUCUGUUUGUGUUUGUGAACAGAGCCUCAGGACCAGCUUGCUUAGGGAACUCUUCUCCAGGUUCAUCUCUCUGUAGGUGAUGGCUUUGUUAUGGAAGGUUAGGGAAUUACUUCCUGUUAGGUGGUUGUAGAAUUUAACGGCUCUUGAUUUUGAUAAUUAGCGGGUGUCGGCCUAAUUCUGCUCUGCAUGCAUUAUUUGGUGUUUAACGUUGUACACGGAGGACAGUUUUGCAGAAUUCUGCAUGCAGAGUCUCAAUUUGGUGUUUGUCCCAUUUUGUGAAUUAUUGGUUGGUGAGAGGACCCCAGACUUCACAACCAAAGAGGUCAAUGGGUUCUAUAACUGAUUCAAGUGUUUUUAGUCAGAUCCUAAUUGGGAUGUUACAUUUUGUGUUACUUUUGAUGGCAAAUGAGGCCCUUCUCGUCUUGUCGCUCCGUCACAGCUUUGUGGAAGUUACCUGUGGCGCUGAUGUUUAGGCCGAGGUAUGUAUAGGUUUUUUGUGUGCUCUAGGACGACGGUGUCUAGAUGGAAUUUCUAUUUGUUGUCCUGGCAACUGGACCUUUUUUGGAACAACAUUAUUUUUGUCUUACUGAGAUUUACUGUCAGGGCCCAGGUCUGACAGAAUCUAUCUCUCUCUCUCACACCCACACCCUCACACUGUGUCUCUCUCUUUCACACAGUUUAGAUGGAGGUGGUGCAACAUUGGCUGUAGCCACACCGUGUGGGAGGUGCAGCCAAGCCUGUUCCAAUCAGAAUUGAUUAGCCCUGCUGGUAGGUUUGUAUGUGUAUGUGUGUGUGUGUGUGUGUGAGUGUGUGUGUGUGUUUGGCCUUAUACUCUGCACUCCCUGAAACGUUUUUUGCAAGUUUACAACCUGUAAGAAAUGCACAGGUCUUAAAACAAGGUGAUCCAGUACUUCAUUAACCUGAUGUAUGGUAGAAAAUGUACUUUCCCACUGGGCAAACCUGGGCAAAUCCUGGUUGAAUCAAUGUUGUUUCUAUGUCAUUUCAAUGAAAUUACGCUGAAGCAACGUGGAAUAGAUGUUGAAUUGACACCUGUGCCCAGUGGGUUGCUCUGACGUUGAGACAUUCUGUAGGAGAAGACAGUUUGAUCCAUAGUUGAGAAAUUCUUUAGGUGAGCCCUAGGACCAUGCAUCAGGAUUACCUUGCCUGAUUACUCCUGGCUGUCCCCAGUCCACCUGGUCGUGCUGCUGCUCCAGUUUCAACUGUUCUGCCUGCGGCUAUGGAACCCUGACCUGUUCACCGGACAGGUUGUUUUCGACUCUCUCUACCACACCUGCUGUCUCGACCUCUGAAUGUUCCGCUGUGAAAAGCCAACUGACAUUUACUCCUGAGGUGCUGCCCUGUUGCACCCUCUACAACCACUGUGAUUAUUAUUAUCUGACCCUGCUGGUCAUCUAUGAACGUUUGAACAUCUUGAAGAAUGAUCUGGACUUAAUGACCAUGUACUGUUAUAAUCUUCAACAGGACAGCCAGAAGAGGACUGACCACUCCUCAGAGCUUGGUUCCUUUCUAGGUUUCUUCCUAGGUUCAUGCCUUUCUAGGGAGUUUUUCCUAGCCACCGUGCUUCUACAUCUGCAUUGCUUGUUGUUUGGGGUUUUAGGCUGGGUUUUUGUAUAGCACGUUGCGACAUCUACUGAUGUAAAAAGGGCUUUUUAAAUAAAUGUGAUUAAUUGAUUGAAAAAGGCAUAGAGAGAGAGCGAGAGAGAGACCCUUGCCCAGGGCAUUUCAAUAACAGAUUAUAGACAGAGCCUCCAUUUCGGUAAACACACUCAAUAAUUCAUCCAACACGUUCUGUCUGUGUGUCUGCCUCUGUAUGCUGGUGUUGUAGAGAUAGUUUACUAUGUUCCUCUAGUCAUCUGGAGACUGGUGUUGUAGAGAUGGUUUACUAUGUUCCUCUAGUCAUCUGGAGACUGGUGUUGUAGAGAUGGUUUACUAUGUUCCUCUGUCAUCUGGAGACUGGUGUUGUAGAGAUGGUUUACUAUGUUCCUCUAGUCAUCUGGAGACUGGUGUUGUAGAGAUGGUUUACUAUGUUCCUCUAUCAUCUGGAGACUGGUGUUGUAGAGAUGGUUUACUAUGUUCCUAUAGUCAUCUGGAGACUGGUGUUGUAGAGAUGGUUUACUAUGUUCCUCUAGUCAUCUGGAGACUGGUGUUGUAGAGAUGGUUUACUAUGUUCCUCUAG
RNAcentral lists this long non-coding RNA (3155 nucleotides) under Salmo salar (Atlantic salmon). RNAcentral's name for it is "lncRNA (ENSSSAG00000111633.1)". Lineage: Eukaryota; Metazoa; Chordata; Actinopteri; Salmoniformes; Salmonidae. The record is from RNAcentral.